GUAACCAGUUAGGAAAAUUGUUCCUUCACUCAUAUUUGCUUUUCUCUUUCUGUCCGAGUGGAAGCCUUAAGCCUAUGGGAAUUACCGUGGCGGGGAAGGCCUGCCAAGAUCUCUUUCUGAAUAGUACUAAAACGUCUCUGGAAUCCGUUCUGUAUGAGCAAAGCACAGACAGUACCUUUCCUCCAGCUCUCACAAGCUAGUUUGGAGUAAUCCUUUGAUGAGAAAACCUUGACGGUGUUUCAGAAGAGGAAGAAAAUCCGCCUCUGCAGAGCCACUAGAGACUUUGCCUAUUACUAAUUGAUUCUACACGGAGAGCACGCAGUGGUGACAGCAUCAGUCUGAAACGGGUAGAAACUGAUGUUAGUACAACAGUGUUUGGGAAGAUAUGCUCUAAUAGUACUUU
Pezoporus occidentalis (night parrot) is the source of this 403-nucleotide long non-coding RNA. RefSeq lists it as uncharacterized. Lineage: Eukaryota; Metazoa; Chordata; Aves; Psittaciformes; Psittacidae. The transcript is spliced from 3 exons. The record is from RefSeq and is a predicted model, not a curated record.